GCGGAGAGAGCAAACCGGGACCUGGAAGCCACUCUAUGAUGUGUCACUGCCACUAACCCCACCUCCUGGAGCUCCCAUUUAGCCUGGAUUGAAAGAAGACAUUGCCAUCCCUUCUGUCCAGACGCACCUCCACCGUUGCUGUAAGCUGUGGAAAGAGACUUGCCCUGCUCUGCUUCGAUCAGCCAACGCAAACAAGCAUAUUGCCGACCAUCACCGGACUCCUGCACCAACAUAUCAACCAGGAAAACAAGAGACGGACUCCCUGGAUUCCUAAGUUGGUAAGAGCAGACCCUCGGCCUGCAGAACUGACCUUUGUAACCCUCUAAGUGGGGUUGAUCAGUGAUGCUCAACAGACUCAGAAAGACCUUUCAAGAAGCCAUUUCGAUAAGUUGAAUUAUGACACAAACUAAAAGCACGAAUUGACCCUAAAGGCCACUUGGACCAGAGAAAAAAACUCCCACCUUAGAUGGAGCACAGACUCUUAUCACCAAAGCCAUAAAACUAACCCACAUUCCUGAGGACUUUGUGAAGCCUUGUCUAAUCAUUAUGCAACCUAUAUCAUGUUAUUUGUCAUGUAAAUACAAGAAGAAUGCUAUAACUUUCAUAGGUGUAUGACUAUCUACUAACGAGAUGUAAGACUUAGAUUUUAUUAACCAUUUAUACUACAAGUAACAAUACUAGUAACUACCCUCUAUUGACAAGAGUUAAAUUCCCUUAUGUGAAGAGUUAAUGAAUGUUUGAUAACCGUGUAUUUGUAUUUUAAAAUCACCCAAGUGUUUAACUUAUGAUCUAUUAACCUCAAAGACAAUCAUAUUUUAAUAGUUAAAUGAGACAAGUAGUUGUGUUGAAAGAAUGAAGUUCUGUAGUAGUAAUAGGACUGUAAAGAUAUCAUUAUAUCUUUGAAGGAUUUGAGUUUAAAGUUUUCUUUUAUUGUUCGCUCUUUUAUUGUCAAAUAGUCACAUUGAAUGCUUUUAUAUUAUGAAGUAAAAGUUAUGUUCAAUUUAUAUUUAAAUAUUUCUCUGAAAGUAAUCUA
Long non-coding RNA from Thunnus maccoyii (southern bluefin tuna), 1033 nucleotides. RefSeq lists it as uncharacterized. The record is from RefSeq and is a predicted model, not a curated record. The transcript is spliced from 3 exons. NCBI's taxonomy places the organism in Eukaryota, Metazoa, Chordata, Actinopteri, Scombriformes, Scombridae.